Molecule: ribosomal RNA, 468 nt
Filed under: uncultured bacterium
Lineage: Bacteria
Description: partial 16S ribosomal RNA
Rfam family: Bacterial small subunit ribosomal RNA
Source: RNAcentral
GACGAACGCUGGCGGCGUGCUUAACACAUGCAAGUCGAACGGAAAGGCCCUGCUUUUGUUGGGUGCUCGAGUGGCGAACGGGUGAGUAACACGUGAGUAACCUGCCCUUGUCUUUGGGAUAACUUCAGGAAACUGGGGCUAAUACCGGAUAGGAGCUCCUGCUGCAUGGUGUGGGUUGGAAAGUGUCGGCGGUUGUGGAUGGUCUCGCGGCUUAUCCGCUUGAUUGUGGGGUAGUGGCAUACCAAGGCUUUGACGGGUAGCCGACCUGAGAGGGUGACCGGCCACCAUGCGACUGAGAUAGGGCCCAGUAUCCUACCGGCGGCAGCGGGCGAAAAUAUUGCGCAGUAACCGCGCGCCAGUUACAACAACGCUGCGUGCGUAAUAACGGCCUUCUGGGUAUAAACCGAUUUGGCAUUUGACGAGGCGUUCGUGACGGUAAUUGGUAAAGAAGCCCCGGCUAACUACGUG